GAAGGGAACUGAAGUUGAUUGGCUUCUUUGUGAAGAAGAAAGAGUCAGUGCUCUGAGGAGCUGCCCAUGAGAAACACCAAGAAGAUCUCUUCUGCUGACAUCUGAGUGUUGGAAAAGAAAGCUUCCAUUGGGCAUAAAGAAAACUUUCAAACAGAAGGGGAGAACAUCAUCCAGCUGCAUCUUCCCAUGGUGACCUCCCAUGCAGGCACCAUCCAAUACAAGACACAGCCCAGUUGGCCACUGAAAGUAUUAUGCAAAGGAGAUCAGAAGGGGUUGAUGCUGGAUAAAAUAAAGAGCAUUGUUCUCACUCCUGCUUGUCACUGCAAGAUAAAUGUGAUUUCUCCUGGAUAUAGAAUCCUUUAUCUUUAUGCCCUACUGUAGUGCUGUGGGAAGGCUUGUAAUGCUUAACCCCUUUCUCAGAUGUGGCUGCACAUCCACUGUGAGUAUUUCAUCUCCAGGAGCCUCAUCUCAAGCUCAGUGAAAAAGCCUCAAAAAACAACAAGGUCCUUUGUAAAGAAGGCAUUGCUUUUUGAAGUCCAGCAUGGAUGCAGAUACCAGCUGAAUUGUCUGCUAAUUAUUUGGUAUUGAAACUGGUUUUUGUGUUAAAGUAAGGAAAUCCCAUAUUAAUGUCACCAAGGAAAGACCUGAUGAUUUUGGUGUAGAACAAAUACAUUGCAGAAGUUUCAUUUUACUUUGCUUUUGUUCUUCAUAUUAUUUCCUCUGUGAACACUUGUGGUACACCUGCCACGCUGGUGUCCAUGAGCUGCACUAGCAGAGAAUUUCCUAUCUCACUGUCUUUUCUCUGCACAGUGUUUUACCUGAGCCCAGCCACGUUUUUAUCUGAGACCUCUCCAGUGCCCUUCAACCGCAAUUGACCAAGGUGUUAUGUU
Molecule: non-coding RNA, 890 nt
Organism: Zonotrichia albicollis (white-throated sparrow)
Lineage: Eukaryota; Metazoa; Chordata; Aves; Passeriformes; Passerellidae
Source: RefSeq, a predicted model, not a curated record